Molecule: long non-coding RNA, 2136 nt
Organism: Neofelis nebulosa (Clouded leopard)
Lineage: Eukaryota; Metazoa; Chordata; Mammalia; Carnivora; Felidae
Exons: 2
Source: RefSeq, a predicted model, not a curated record
ACUCGUCCGGGUCCCGCUUCUCCGCUGCCAUCGUUUCGCAGCGGCAGAGUAGCCGCACCAGGUUCAGCUCCAGCCUCGACGCUGCCAUCCCCUCUCGGCGGUACCCGGUCCCUUCCGCCGGCGCCAUCUUGGAAAAGGCGUCUUAGCUCUUCCGGAAGGGUUGAAAGGACCGGAUCCUUUGAGGUCAGGUUCAUAUGCAAUACGUCCUCUACUUAUUCUUUUCUUUCUGAUCGGAAUUCCUUCCCCCACACCCACUCCUGUUUGGGUUCUUCUCAUACUGAGCUCUUCCGUAUCCAGGCAGCCUUCCCGGUUCUUCCUGGGGUACGGCCCUGGGACUAAGGAAUCCGCAGCUUAGGGGCCCAUCCAGUUUGUGAUUAUGUUCUUCCGGUUCUGACGCUGACUCCACCCCCCCCCCGCCCCCCGCCGUGGCCUUGAGCGAGGUUUCUUAAUUUUUCUGGGCUCGGUUCCUCCUUUGGGUGGAACUUUGGGUGGUGUGACAAAGCCUGCCUCCAGGGGAACAUUAGCUAGCCCUGGGGUGAGAGGUGGGGCGGGGUCGCCCCUAACCCACCAGGCCUCAUGGAGAGAACCCCACCUGGGUCCCCAGCCCUCCAGCUGAGGCCCAUUCUGUGAGCUCCUCCCACCCCAGGCUUGCAGACCGGGUGAGGAGGGGGGACUUUAGAGGGACUAGAGCCUGGCAUGCAGCCCUCAUCCAUCUUCCCACUCCUCACGUCACUUGUCACCUGGUCACAUCUGUGGGCCUGGUGUUCUCGAGAAAUACUAUGAAGGAGAGGAAACCCAGGGUAGAUGAAGGAAUCCAGGGGGCAGAUGAGGCAGGUUCUGAAUCCCAGCCCUGUCCCAUCCCAAAUACGUGGCCUUGGACAAGCCUCUCAACUUUCCGUCAUGUGCAGUCUGGACUAGGGUUCUUCACUGUCCCCCACCCCACCCCCAUGGGCCCCACCUGCCAGCAGAUUCCCACAACUGCCCAGCUGAUUUGCAGCCUGGGAGCUGGUCUGAGAGGGGAUGGUGGGGGUGUGUGGUUUCUAGCUCUGUUGGGCUCACCAGGAACCGAUCCCUUCAUAGGGCAGAUGGCCCCUACAGCUGACAUUUAAGCCCUACCUGGGGAGAGGCUGGGUGCUGAAACAGGGCACCAGGAGGCAGCUCCCAGGACAACAGGCUCUGCCAGCCCCUCACCCCCGUUUCCAGAUUAACCAGCCCUUCCAGCAAGCCCACCACUCUAGCGCCCGGAGUGCGUGUGAAAUUCCAGCAGCAGCAUUUGCGGGACAAUCGAGGCAGGUCCUCCCAGGCCGGGGGGCACAUCCCCCUGCCCUGCACCCCUUUUGGCUGAGGUCACAGGGUGGACCUCUCCCCCGCCCCACCUGUCAACCCCUGCUCUUCCAACUCUGAACCAGUCCGAGCAGGAAUUACACGCAAACACUUUUCAGGCACUUUUUAUUUCACACGGCUCGUGGGGCACCUGGGGCACCUCUCGUACCAGACCUGUGGCCGUGUGUCUGGGGAGCGACCCAGGCCUGAGAGAGAGGAAGCCCCACUCCGGAGAUUCCCCAGACUGUCACUGUUGACCAGUAGGAAUGUACAACCCCAGGCCUUGCCCUCCCUGCCGGUGAGUGGUCCUGAGUCGCGGCUCCUGUUCGCCACACGGAACGGGCGGCGUGCCAAGGAUGGCCUCCUCCAGCCUCCUGAGUCCAGGGCGUGGUGGACAGAAGAGUGACGGCCACAUUCAAGUCUCCCUGGGAUGUGAGGUCUGUGGUGCUGCGGGCGGAGGCUGCCUACCACCCUGUGUCCUGACUCCAACCACCAGCCUUGAUCCCCAGAGAGGCUCCAACGCUCCCUCAAGUGCAUGCCAGCCAGGUGGCCGGUUGCCAGCUGGGCCAGAGGAGGAGUCUGAGACGGACUUGGGGCAGUCAGGUGCCCCAAGGGUCCAAAGCCCCUGCGCACGGUCCUGGCCUUCAGACCACGGGCCCCGAGCCGUCCUCAGUGCGAGUCUGGGCCUCCUCCGUGUGGCGGCUGUUGCGGGCUUUGCUCCAAAGACUCAUGUCCAGGUUACAAGGGCGAUGCAGGGCGUUAAUAUAAAAGUUUGUACAUACACAUAUAAAAAACAAUUUGGUCUCUUGUUAA